ACGGUGUUAGUUUAACGGUAGAACGUAGGAUUGUGGAUCCUAUAGUCCGAGUUCGAUUCUCGGGCGCCGUCCCA
This 74-nucleotide transfer RNA is filed under the name Candidatus Woesearchaeota archaeon. RNAcentral describes it as "tRNA-His". It matches the Rfam family "tRNA". From Rfam's summary of the family: Transfer RNA (tRNA) molecules are approximately 80 nucleotides in length. Their secondary structure includes four short double-helical elements and three loops (D, anti-codon, and T loops). The record is from RNAcentral. Lineage: Archaea; Nanobdellati; Candidatus Woesearchaeota.